GUGGCAGGUAGCUUAAUCGUAAAGUACCAAUUUUGCCUGAAAAGGCCGCAGAAUUAGGGUUAUCGCUAUAAAUCGAUUCCCCCCCUUAUUCGCCGGAAAUGCAGGUGCAAAUCCUGCUCUGCUACACCA
RNAcentral lists this transfer RNA (129 nucleotides) under Limnofasciculus baicalensis BBK-W-15. Its description in RNAcentral is "tRNA-OTHER". It matches the Rfam family "tRNA". Rfam says of the family: Transfer RNA (tRNA) molecules are approximately 80 nucleotides in length. Their secondary structure includes four short double-helical elements and three loops (D, anti-codon, and T loops). Further hydrogen bonds mediate the characteristic L-shaped molecular structure. tRNAs have two regions of fundamental functional importance: the anti-codon, which is responsible for specific mRNA codon recognition, and the 3' end, to which the tRNAs corresponding amino acid is attached (by aminoacyl-tRNA synthetases). tRNAs cope with the degeneracy of the genetic code in two manners: having more than one tRNA (with a specific anti-codon) for a particular amino acid; and 'wobble' base-pairing, i.e. permitting non-standard base-pairing at the 3rd anti-codon position. Lineage: Bacteria; Bacillati; Cyanobacteriota; Cyanophyceae; Coleofasciculales; Coleofasciculaceae. The record is from RNAcentral.